This 428-nucleotide ribosomal RNA is filed under the name uncultured bacterium. RNAcentral's name for it is "bacterial SSU rRNA". It matches the Rfam family "Bacterial small subunit ribosomal RNA", at positions 355 to 775 of the family's 1533-position model. The record is from RNAcentral.
UCGAGAAUCAUUCGCAAUGGGCGAAAGCCUGACGAUGCGACGCUGUGUGAGCGAUGAAGGCCUUCGGGUCGUAAAGCUCUUUCGCUUGGGAACAAGAGAAGUUAGUGAACAACUAGCUAAUUUGAGGGUACCAGGUAAAGAAGCACCGGCUAACUCCGUGCCAGCAGCUGCGGUAAUACGGAGGGUGCAAGCAUUAAUCGGAUUUAUUGGGCGUAAAGGGCGCGUAGGCGGAAAUAUAAGUCAGAUGUGAAAUCCCGGGGCUCAACCCCGGAACUGCAUUUGAAACUAUAUUCCUUGAGGGUAGGCGGAGAAAACGGAAUUCCACAUGUAGCGGUGAAAUGCGUAGAUAUGUGGCAGAACAUCGGUGGCGAAGGCGGUUUUCUAGCUUAUUCCUGACGCUGAGGCGCGAAAGUAAGGGGAUCAAACAG